This 446-nucleotide ribosomal RNA is filed under the name uncultured Pseudoclavibacter sp. RNAcentral describes it as "bacterial SSU rRNA". It matches the Rfam family "Bacterial small subunit ribosomal RNA", at positions 337 to 795 of the family's 1533-position model. The record is from RNAcentral. Lineage: Bacteria; Bacillati; Actinomycetota; Actinomycetes; Micrococcales; Microbacteriaceae.
UCCUACGGGUGGCUGCAGUGGGGAAUAUUGCACAAUGGGCGCAAGCCUGAUGCAGCAACGCCGCGUGAGGGAUGACGGCCUUCGGGUUGUAAACCUCUUUUAGUAGGGAAGAAGCGAAAGUGACGGUACCUGCAGAAAAAGCACCGGCUAACUACGUGCCAGCAGCCGCGGUAAUACGUAGGGUGCAAGCGUUGUCCGGAAUUAUUGGGCGUAAAGAGCUCGUAGGCGGCUUGUCGCGUCUGCUGUGAAAUCCCGGAGCUCAACUCCGGGCCUGCAGUGGGUACGGGCAGGCUAGAGUGCGGUAGGGGAGAUUGGAAUUCCUGGUGUAGCGGUGGAAUGCGCAGAUAUCAGGAGGAACACCGAUGGCGAAGGCAGAUCUCUGGGCCGUAACUGACGCUGAGGAGCGAAAGCAUGGGGAGCGAACAGGAUUAGAUACCCUAGUAGUC